This is a long non-coding RNA of Candoia aspera, 307 nucleotides long. RefSeq lists it as uncharacterized. The record is from RefSeq and is a predicted model, not a curated record. NCBI's taxonomy places the organism in Eukaryota, Metazoa, Chordata, Lepidosauria, Squamata, Candoiidae. The transcript has 3 exons.
CCUGGAGCAGCCAAGCAAGUCCUGGUGACUUGCAUCACAAGGGAAUAGAUUUGCCUUUUCUCAUACUCAGCCCUUCUACUGGACCUAGAUUCUCAUGAGAGGUCUUAUUCAUCUCCAUCAAUUCGGCGUCUUGUGCGUGGGGAAGUCUGUAAUUUCUGGCAACUCCAAGUUCCUGGGAUUAUAUUAAGGAAUCUUGUCUACUCAAAAGACCCUAGCCAGACUGCGGUUCCUGGUUGGCAAAUUCAUUUCAGGAGCACGAUGAGCUGGAUGUGUUUUCUGGAUCGUGAUCACUCCUGACACACAGCUA